RNAcentral lists this ribosomal RNA (433 nucleotides) under uncultured bacterium. RNAcentral's name for it is "partial 16S ribosomal RNA". It matches the Rfam family "Bacterial small subunit ribosomal RNA", at positions 29 to 507 of the family's 1533-position model. The record is from RNAcentral.
AACGAACGCUGGCGGCAUGCCUAACACAUGCAAGUCGAACGAGACCUUCGGGUCUAGUGGCGCACGGGUGCGUAACGCGUGGGAAUCUGCCCUUGGGUUCGGAAUCACAGUUGGAAACGACUGCUAAUACCGGAUGAUGACGUAAGUCCAAAGAUUUAUCGCCCCAGGAUGAGCCCGCGUAGGAUUCGCUAGUUGGUGAGGUAAAGGCUCACCAAGGCGACGAUCCUUAGCUGGUCUGAGAGGAUGAUCAGCCACACUGGGACUGAGACACGGCCCAGACUCCGACGGGAGGCAGCAGUGGGGAAUAUUGGGCAAUGGGCGAAAGCCUGAUCCAGCAAUGCCGCGUGAGUGAUGAAGGCCUUAGGGUUGUAAAGCUCUUUUACCCGGGAUGAUAAUGACAGUACCGGGAGAAUAAGCUCCGGCUAACUCCGUG